CAAAAAGCAGUGGUCUGUUGUUGCCUUGUGAGCAGUCCACUCGUAACCUUCAGGGAUAUAAAACCAUUGUUAUUGGGUGAACCGCUGUUCCAUAUUUUGUGAUCGUAGGUUCAGUAAAUGAUGGAACAUUU
This is a non-coding RNA of Cicer arietinum (chickpea), 131 nucleotides long. NCBI's taxonomy places the organism in Eukaryota, Viridiplantae, Streptophyta, Magnoliopsida, Fabales, Fabaceae. The record is from Rfam.